This 1413-nucleotide ribosomal RNA is filed under the name uncultured prokaryote. Its description in RNAcentral is "partial 16S ribosomal RNA". It matches the Rfam family "Bacterial small subunit ribosomal RNA". The record is from RNAcentral.
GGCGUGGAUUAGGCAUGCAAGUCGAACGAGAAAGUUUCCUUCGGGAGAUGAGUACAGUGGCGAACUGGUUAGUAACAGGUGGGAAAUGUACCCCUUGGCUUGGGAUAACUUCUGGAAACAGAAGCUAAUACCAGAUGAGACUCACGGACCUUUGGUUCUGUGGGUUAAAGAUGCUUCUUUUAUUAGUUGUGUCACCAAGAGAUCGUCCCGCCCCUGAUUAGCUUGACGGUGGGGUAAUGGCCUACCGUGGCGACAAUCAGUAGCUGGUCUGAGAGGAUGGUCAGCAACACUGGGACUGAGAUACGGCCCAGACUCCUACGGGAGGCAGCAGUCUAGAGGCUUCGGCAAUGGACGAAAGUCUGACCGAGCGACGCCGCGUGUGUGAUGAAGGCCUUCGGGUCGUAAAGCACUGUCAGUAGGGAAGAAGGCUUUGGAGGUGUCCCUCCAGAGUUUGACGGUACCUACAGAGGAAGCCCCGGCUAACUCCGUGCCAGCAGCCGCGGUAAUACGGAGGGGGCAAGCGUUAUUCGGAAUUAUUGGGCGUAAAGAGCGCGUAGGCGGAUGUUUAGGUCUGACGUGAAAUCGUUACCGCUUAACGGAACGACUGCGUUGGAAACCGGGCAUCUGAGGUAGGCAGAGGAGAGUGGAAUUCCCGGUGUAGUGGUGGAAUGCGUAGAUAUCGGGAGGAACACCAGUGGCGAAAGCGGCUCUCUGGACCUGACCUGACGCUCAGAUGCGAAAGCGUGGGGAGCGAACGGGAUUAGAUACCCCGGUAGUCCACGCUGUAAACGAUGGAUACUAGGUGUAGCGGGUAUUGACCCCUGCUGUGCCGAAGUUAACGCGCUAAGUAUCCCGCCUGGGGAGUACGACCGCAAGGUUAAAACUCAAAGGAAUUGACGGGGGCCCGCACAAGCAGCGGAGCGUGUGGUUCAAUUCGAUGCAACGCGAAAAACCUUACCAGGGCUUGACAUGUUGGUGGUACCAAAUCGAAAGAGGCGGGACUCUCGGGGAGCCAUCACAGAUGCUGCAUGGCUGUCGUCAGCUCGUGCCGUGAGGUGUUGGGUUAAGUCCCGCAACGAGCGCAACCCCUGUCGCCAGUUGGAUUUUUCUGGCGAGACUGCCCGGAGCAACCGGGAGGAAGGCGGGGAUGACGUCAAGUCAGCAUGGCUCUUACGCCUUGGGCUACUCACACGCUACAAUGGACGGUACAGACCGCAGCGACACCGCGAGGUCAAGCUAAUCGGACAAAGCCGUCCUCAGUUCGGAUUGCAGGCUGCAACUCGCCUGCAUGAAGUCGGAGUUGCUAGUAACCGCAGGUCAGCCUUACUGCGGUGAAUACGUUCCCGGGCCUUGGUACACACCGCCCGUCACGUCAUGGAAGCUGGCAACACCUGAAGACCAGUGAGCCCAACC